UACGUAGGGCGCAAGCGUUGUCCGGAAUUAUUGGGCGUAAAGAGCUCGUAGGCGGCCUGUUGCGUCCGCUGUGAAAUCCCGGGGCUUAACCCCGGGCCUGCAGUGGAUACGGGCAGGCUGGAGGCAGGCAGGGGAGAACGGAAUUCCCGGUGUAGCGGUGAAAUGCGCAGAUAUCAGGAGGAACACCGGUGGCGAAGGCGGGUCUCUGGGCAACAACUGACGCUGGAGGAGCGAAAGCGUGGGGAGCGAACAGG
This 254-nucleotide ribosomal RNA is filed under the name uncultured bacterium. Its description in RNAcentral is "partial 16S ribosomal RNA". It matches the Rfam family "Bacterial small subunit ribosomal RNA", at positions 524 to 776 of the family's 1533-position model. The record is from RNAcentral.